AAAGAAAGUAAGCAAGGGCGCAUGGCGGAUGCCUUGGCUCUCGGAGGCGAUGAAGGACGUGAUAAGCUGCGAUAAGCUUCGGGUAGGUGCAAAUAACCUUUGAUCCGAAGAUUUCCGAAUGGGACAACCCGUCAUUCUGAAGGAAUGACAUCUUGCAUGGCAAGAGGCUAACGCAGGGAACUGAAACAUCUUAGUACCUGCAGGAAAAGAAAAUAAUAAUGAUUCCCCAAGUAGUGGCGAGCGAACGGGGAUUAGCCCAAACCAAUGUUGUUACGGCAAUAUUGGGGUUGUAGGACCACGAUGUCGCAAGAAAUUUAGUGAGAAGAACCCUUUGGAAAAUGGGACCAUAGACGGUGAUAGUCCGGUAUUCGAAGCUAAACGAAGCGUAGUGGUAUCCUGAGUAGCGCGGGACACGAGAAAUCUUGCGUGAAUCAGCCGGGACCAUCCGGUAAGGCUAAAUACUCCCGAGAGACCGAUAGCGAACCAGUACUGUGAAGGAAAGGUGAAAAGCACUUCGAACAGAAGAGUGAAAUAGUCCCUGAAACCGUGCGCCUACAAGCGGUCGGAGCUUCGUAAGAAGUGACGGCGUGCCUUUUGCAUAAUGAACCUACGAGUUACUUUUUCCGGCAAGGUUAAGCAUUUCAAAAUGUGUAGCCGAAGCGAAAGCGAGUCUUAAUAGGGCGACUAGUCGGAAGGAGUAGACGCGAAACCAAGUGAUCUACCCUUGGUCAGGUUGAAGGUUAGGUAACACUAACUGGAGGACCGAACCGAUAAGCGUUGAAAAGCUUCCGGAUGAACUGAGGGUGGGGGUGAAAGGCUAAUCAAACUUGGAGAUAGCUCGUACUCCCCGAAAUGCAUUUAGGUGCAGCCUCGGGAAUUACUACUGUGAGGUAGAGCGACUGAUAAGAUGCGAGGGCUUCACCGCCUAUCAAGUCUUGAUAAACUCCGAAUGCGCAGUAGUUCUAUCCCGGGAGUGAGGGCAUGGGUGCUAAGGUCCAUGUCCUAAAGGAGAAGAAUCCGGACCAUCAGCUAAGGUCCCGAAAUAAUUGCUAAGUUGAACUAACGAAGUCAGAUUGCUAAGACAGCUAGGAUGUUGGCUUGGAAGCAGCCAUUCAUUUAAAGAGUGCGUAACAGCUCACUAGUCGAGGAGUUUGGCGUGGAUAAUAAUCGGGCAUUAAGCAAUUUACCGAAGCUAUGGGAUCAGUAAUGAUCGGUAGGGGAGCAUUCCACUCUGCGUCGAAGGUGAAGCGUGAGCUUUGCUGGAGCGUGUGGAAAAGCAAAUGUAGGUAUAAGUAACGAUAAAGGGGGUGAGAAACCCCCUCGCCGAAAGACUAAGGUUUCCUGAUCAACGCUAAUCGGAUCAGGGUUAGUCGGGUCCUAAGGCUCAGCCGAACGGUGAUGCCGAUGGCAGAACAGGUUAAUAUUCCUGUACUACCUUAAGGAGUGACGUGGAGACGGAGUCGUGACAGCGCCGCGGACUGACGGAAUAGUCCGUUGAAGGGUGUAGAUGUUGAUCUUUGCAGGCAAAUCCACAAAGAGAGUCGAACCUGAUAGUAUACCAAUUCCUUCGGGAAACGGUAAUAGUGCGUGUAAACAUACUCCCGAGAAAAUCCGCUAAACUUAAUCCUUUAGGUACCCGUACCGCAAACGGACACACGUAGUCGGGUUGAAUAUACUAAGGCGCUUGAGUGAUUCACGGUUAAGGAACUAGGCAAAUUAACCCUGUAACUUCGGGAUAAAGGGUCCCAACGAGAGUUGGGCGCAGAGAAUAGGUCCAGGCAACUGUUUAACAAAAACACAGGGCUGUGCCAAAUUGAAAGAUUACGUAUACAGCCUGACACCUGCCCGGUGCUGGAAGGUUAAGAGGAGAUGUCAUCGCAAGAGAAGCAUUGAAUUGAAGCCCCAGUAAACGGCGGCCGUAACUAUAACGGUCCUAAGGUAGCGAAAUUCCUUGUCGGGUAAGUUCCGACC
RNAcentral lists this ribosomal RNA (1971 nucleotides) under Bacteroides finegoldii. RNAcentral's name for it is "partial 23S ribosomal RNA". It matches the Rfam family "Bacterial large subunit ribosomal RNA", at positions 1 to 1988 of the family's 2925-position model. Lineage: Bacteria; Pseudomonadati; Bacteroidota; Bacteroidia; Bacteroidales; Bacteroidaceae. The record is from RNAcentral.